Molecule: ribosomal RNA, 576 nt
Filed under: uncultured bacterium
Lineage: Bacteria
Description: bacterial SSU rRNA
Rfam family: Bacterial small subunit ribosomal RNA
Source: RNAcentral
ACGGGUGAGUAAUACAUCGGAACGUAUCCUGGAGUGGGGGAUAGCCCGGCGAAAGCCGGAUUAAUACCGCAUACGCUCUGAGGAGGAAAGCGGGGGACCUUCGGGCCUCGCGCUCAAGGGGCGGCCGAUGGCGGAUUAGGUAGUUGGUGGGGUAAAGGCCUACCAAGCCGACGAUCCGUAGCUGGUCUGAGGGGACGACCAGCCACACUGGGACUGAGACACGGCCCAGACUCCUACGGGAGGCAGCAGUGGGGAAUUUUGGACAAUGGGGGCAACCCUGAUCCAGCAAUGCCGCGUGUGUGAAGAAGGCCUUCGGGUUGUAAAGCACUUUUGUCCGGAAAGAAAUCAUCGGGGCCAAUACCCCUGGUGGAUGACGGUACCGGAAGAAUAAGCGCCGGCUAACUACGUGCCAGCAGCCGCGGUGAUACGUAGGGUGCGAGCGUUAAUCGGAAUUACUGGGCGUAAAGCGCGCGCAGGCGGUGCUGUAAGACCGAUGUGAAAUCCCCGGGCUUAACCUGGGAACUGCAUUGGUGACUGCAGCGCUGGAGUAUGGCAGAGGGGGGUGGAAUUCCACGU